GACGAACCGUGCGAACGUUGUUCGGAUUCACUGGGCUUAAAGGGCGCGUAGGCGGCUUCUGCAGUCCGGGGUGAAAGCUUUCGGCUUAACCGGAAAAGUGCCUUGGAUACUGAGAAGCUCGAGGGAGGUAGGGGCAGGUGGAACUUCCGGUGGAGCGGUGAAAUGCGUUGAUAUCGGAAGGAACGCCGGUGGCGAAAGCGACCUGCUGGACCUCUACUGACGCUGAGGCGCGAAAGCCAGGGGAGCAAACGGGAUUAGAUACCCGUGUAGU
This 271-nucleotide ribosomal RNA is filed under the name uncultured bacterium. RNAcentral's name for it is "partial 16S ribosomal RNA". It matches the Rfam family "Bacterial small subunit ribosomal RNA", at positions 524 to 794 of the family's 1533-position model. The record is from RNAcentral.